GCACCUUCGGGUGUGAGUAAAGUGGCGAACGGGUGAGUAACACGCGAGUAAUCUACCUCUGAGCGGGGGACAACGUGUCGAAAGACGCGCUAAUACCGCAUAAGACCACAUCCGCCUAGGCGGAAGGGGUCAAAGAUGCCCUCUCCAUGGAAGGUAUCACUUAGAGAUGAGCUCACGGCCCAUCAGCUUGUUGGUAGGGUAACGGCCUACCAAGGCUAAGACGGGUAGCUGGUCUGAGAGGAUGAUCAGCCACACUGGGACUGAGACACGGCCCAGACUCCUACGGGAGGCAGCAGUGGGGAAUAUUGGACAAUGGGGGCAACCCUGAUCCAGCCACGCCGCGUGAGUGAUGAAGGUUUUCGGAUCGUAAAACUCUGUCUUGAGGGAAGAACCGCUUGGAUUCAAAUAGGGUCCAGGUCUGACGGUACCUCAGGAGGAAGCACCGGCUAACUCCGUGCCAGCAGCCGCGGUAAAACGGAGGGUGCAAACGUUGCUCGGAAUUACUGGGCGUAAAGCGCAUGUAGGCGGACUAAUAAGUCUCGUGUGAAAGUCCUGGGCUC
RNAcentral lists this ribosomal RNA (560 nucleotides) under uncultured bacterium. RNAcentral describes it as "bacterial SSU rRNA". It matches the Rfam family "Bacterial small subunit ribosomal RNA", at positions 74 to 610 of the family's 1533-position model. The record is from RNAcentral.